RNAcentral lists this ribosomal RNA (515 nucleotides) under uncultured bacterium. RNAcentral describes it as "partial 16S ribosomal RNA". It matches the Rfam family "Bacterial small subunit ribosomal RNA", at positions 28 to 523 of the family's 1533-position model. The record is from RNAcentral.
GAUGAACGCUGGCGGCGAGCCUAAUACAUGCAAGUCGAGCGAAUGGAUUAAGAGCUUGCUCUUAUGAAGUUAGCGGCGGACGGGUGAGUAACACGUGGGUAACCUGCCCAUAAGACUGGGAUAACUCCGGGAAACCGGGGCUAAUACCGGAUAACAUUUUGAACCGCAUGGUUCGAAAUGGAAAGGCGGCUUCGGCUGUCAAUUAUGGAUGGACCCGGGUCGCAUUAGCUAGUUGGUGAGGUAACGGCUCACCAAGGCAAAGAUGCGUAGCCGACCUGGGAGGGUGAUCGGCCACACUGGGACUGAGACACGGCCCAGACUCCUACGGGAGGCAGCAGUAGGGAAUCUUCCGCAAUGGACGAAAGUCUGACGGAGCAACGCCGCGUGAGUGAUGAAGGCUUUCGGGUCGUAAAACUCUGUUGUUAGGGAAGAACAAGUGCUAGUUGAAUAAGCUGGCACCUUGACGGUACCUAACCAGAAAGCCACGGCUAACUACGUGCCAGCCGCCGCCGUAA